UUUCAUACGAAACAUUUCCUGGACGAUCGGCAAACAGGAAGAGACGACCAGUUUGUUUCGUCACUUCACCCACUUUUACUUGCGAUAUUCAGUAUUCAAUACUGAAUAUGACUAUCCGGAAACAUCUCCUGUGUCCUCUCCUGUGGGCAGCAACCGCGCUCUGUGUUGCGAAAGAUUGCAGUAAUCAUAUAUCCAUAGUUGGUGUUGAAGGAGAAGAUAUUGUUUUGGCACCAUCAGUUGCAGGCAAUGGCAGCCUAACAAGUAUUUAUUGGAAGAAAGGAGAAGAUAUAGUGGUUGGCUCCAGGUUCAGUAUUCCUUCUGAAAAGGAAAAACAAAGAUGGAGUUUUGAUUCUUCCUCUGGCAAUUUGUCUCUCAAAAACCUUUCAAAGGAGGAUACUGGAACUUACACAGCAAAAAUUUUCAUUAAUGAGGAAAUCAAAGAAACCUGUUUUGAUCUGAAAAUACUAGUACGGCCUGAUAUAAAUUGCACUGUUAACAAUGAUACCAUUCAAUUAAACUGUACAUCAGCAAGUCAGGAUCUACCUCUGGCAUACUCCUGGGAUGUCAGCAGAAAUGAAGAAAUAAUCUCUGUGAAGAAUUCGGUUAUUCAGCUUCAGAGGAACUCAAACCAUUUUCAGAAAAUUACAUGUUAUGUUGUAGCUUCCAAUUCAAACGCCAGCAAUUUCAUCAAUCUGAGUGAUUGUAUUAUACCGGUAGAAGAACCUGUUCAUCAAUCAAGAAGUAGAAUAUCAUUAAUUGCAAUAGCAAUAAUUCCAGUUCUAAUGAUAGUUUACUUCUACAUAAUGAAGUAUCUGAAAACACGGAGAAAAAGAACCUUUAAUGAAUCAGAAUCUGCAGCAAAGAAUGCAAGAGGAAAUUAUAAGGAAGAGAGUUCUGAGUUGCCAGAAUAAGAAAGAAAGUCACUUACUAAAUCUGAAUUGGAGAGUAUGGGAAAAAGAGAAGAACGUGAAGAAACUUCUAGGCUUGAAUCUUGAAAGGAGUCAGAGGUAAUUUUUUCAAGGAUGAAAGGUGACAACACGAAAGUACCUCUGCAGCCUCUCUUCAAUCCAAUUCAUACGUUACCUCCUUUUAUCAAUUUUGCUGAAUUGUAAUUGGUUUUAUGUUGCUUUUCAACUGUUUUUAUUUUAUUCAUAUCAUGUUCUAAUUUAUUAUGGAAUUUUAAAUAGUUAUGGACUGCUUUAUUUAUUUCAUGAGCUCUUUUAUGUACCACUAUGAAAACAAACAAGAGACAGUAAGAAAAUGAACAAAAGAAAGAAGAGAUAUAGAAUAAACUCAGAAUUGUUGUCUCCUUCAAAACCAUUGAAUCAUCCUAAAAUUGCUGAAUAUUUAGCAACAAAAAGCAAGCAAGCAAACAAACAAAAAACACCAGUGGGUACAGUCAGUAAUAAAAUAAACCAAGAAGUUCCAAUGAUGUUUUUAUUGCCUGUGAUGUUCUGGAAUGGGAUUUCAAAACUGAGACCGAGCACACCAGCAGCUAGAUCUUUCUUCCUCUCUGGGAAGAAUCAUACCAACUGAAUGAUUUAACAGCAGAGCUUCACCCUGAGGUUGAUACACCUCUUGCCCACCCUCUUCAUAUUUUUCUAAAGCAGAUCAACUUGAAUAUUUAAGAAACGAAUAAGUCCAUAACAAGACAAUGCCUUCUAACUGCACAGACUGUCAAUUCUAUGUUUGAGCUAUUGUCAAUAAUAAAUAAAUAAUAACAUGGAUACUUUUUUUUGGGGGGGGGGGGAUCUUUGAAAGAGCUAAUCAAAAUCAUUCAAACAAAUCAAAAUUGUACAUGGGAUGGAGCCAGGAGAUGGAAGAAUUCUGAUGUUAAGAAUUGG
Molecule: non-coding RNA, 1844 nt
Organism: Pseudonaja textilis
Lineage: Eukaryota; Metazoa; Chordata; Lepidosauria; Squamata; Elapidae
Source: RefSeq, a predicted model, not a curated record